CAUCAGUAGAAUAACCAGGAAGAGUUCUCUUUUUCUUUUUAACAACUGAACUCAAAUACAUCAGUAGAAUAACCAGGAAGAGUUCUCUUUUCUUUUUAACAACUUCCUCGCAAGGGGUGUAUAAUGACCAUGGAAUCAAUUUAGUUGGAGAAGUGGUUAAAGAGUUGGCAAAGUAAUUCAAUUUCUGAAUUAUCUGGUUAGGUUCUAAUGGUACAUAAAAUUUGAGGGAAUGAUCUUACUUGAAUAGUCGUACUCAUAACCGCAGCAGGUCUCCAAGGUUAGAAGCCUCUAGUUGGCAGAAUAAUGUAGGUAAGGGAAUCGGCAAAAUAGAUCUGUAACUUCGGGAAAAAGAUUAGGCUCUAAAAGGCUGAGUAUAUGGGCUAUGCUUUGAAGUUAUUAGAGAUUAGAUUGUUAGGUGGCUGUCAUGGUUGGUUGUGA
This 438-nucleotide ribosomal RNA is filed under the name uncultured eukaryote. Its description in RNAcentral is "eukaryotic LSU rRNA". It matches the Rfam family "Eukaryotic large subunit ribosomal RNA", at positions 1614 to 2031 of the family's 3401-position model. The record is from RNAcentral.